Molecule: ribosomal RNA, 601 nt
Filed under: uncultured archaeon
Lineage: Archaea
Description: bacterial SSU rRNA
Rfam family: Archaeal small subunit ribosomal RNA
Source: RNAcentral
GUAGAGACGCGGCGUACGGCUCAGUAACAUGUGGCUAACCUACCCUUAGGACGGGGACAACCCCGGGAAACUGGGGCUAAUACCCGAUAGGUGAGGAGGCCUGGAAUGGUUCCUAGUCGAAAAGGCGUUGAAACCAUGCUUUUCGACGUCACCUAAGGAUGGGGCCGCGCCCGAUCAGGUUGUUGGUGGGGUAACGGCUCACCAGGCCUAUAACCGGUACGGGCCGUGAGAGCGGGAGCCCGGAGAUGGGCACUGAGACAAGGGCCCAGGCCCUACGGGGCGCAGCAGUCGCGAAAACUCCGCAAUGCGCGAAAGCGUGACGGGGCUACCCCGAGUGCCGUCCGCUGAGGAUGGCUUUUCCCCGGUGUAAUGAGCCGGGGGAAUAAGGAGAGGGCAAGUCUGGUGUCAGCCGCCGCGGUAAUACCAGCUCUCCGAGUGGUAGGGAUGAUUAUUGGGCUUAAAGCGUCCGUAGCCGGCUUAGCAAGUCUCCUGUUAAAUUCAGCGACCUAAUCGUUGAGCCGCGGGAGAUACUACUAGGCUAGGAGGCGGGAGAGGCCGACGGUAUUCUCGGGGUAGGGGUGAAAUCCUAUAAUCCCGGGAG